Molecule: ribosomal RNA, 497 nt
Filed under: uncultured bacterium
Lineage: Bacteria
Description: partial 16S ribosomal RNA
Rfam family: Bacterial small subunit ribosomal RNA
Source: RNAcentral
GAGGAAGGCGGGCGGCGUGCCUAAUACAUGCAAGUCGAGCGAACAGACGAGGAGCUUGCUCCUCUGACGUUAGCGGCGGACGGGUGAGUAACACGUGGAUAACCUACCUAUAAGACUGGGAUAACUUCGGGAAACCGGAGCUAAUACCGGAUAAUAUAUUGAACCGCAUGGUUCAAUAGUGAAAGACGGUUUUGCUGUCACUUAUAGAUGGAUCCGCGCCGCAUUAGCUAGUUGGUAAGGUAACGGCUUACCAAGGCGACGAUGCGUAGCCGACCUGAGAGGGUGAUCGGCCACCCUGGAACUGAGACACGGUCCAGACUCCUACGGGAGGCAGCAGUAGGGAAUCUUCCGCAAUGGGCGAAAGCCUGACGGAGCAACGCCGCGUGAGUGAUGAAGGUCUUCGGAUCGUAAAACUCUGUUAUUAGGGAAGAACAAAUGUGUAAGUAACUAUGCACGUCUUGACGGUAACUAAUCAGAAAGCCACGGCUAACUACGUG